Molecule: long non-coding RNA, 2938 nt
Filed under: Homo sapiens (human)
Lineage: Eukaryota; Metazoa; Chordata; Mammalia; Primates; Hominidae
Description: HSALNT0292037
Source: RNAcentral
UAAGAAUCUCUGCUCUAGGUCUGUGGAUAGAGAUAAUUGAGUUUAUCACCAACUUCCUGGUAAUGUUCCUUCUUCUCAUUUUCUAACCUGUUCCCUUGUUAUAGUCUGACUCUUCUGCGAUUAGUGAGAAUCUGGCAGAGUGCAGGGGAGUAAAACCAAGCUAGACUUGAAAUGGAAUGAACAAUAUGAAGAAUCUAUCCUGAGUGCAUCUGCAUUAACUUAACUAGAAAACCUCAAAGAGUCCUGUGGCCCAAGUCUGCUGCAGCGGUCAAAGAACAGUGCAGCAAAGAAGAUCCCUAGGAGGUAACUGCAAAACUCAGCUGAAGUCUGGGCCAUUCUGUGGGUGAGAAUUGGGGUUCGGUCUUUUCCUGGGAAGCAUCAAAUCCUGGGCUCAGAACUUAAAAGGUCCACUAAAGGGUUUGCUGGAGGGACAGGACAUGGGGUCCUCUACCUUUAAAAGAAGCCCACUCCCCUGCUCUUGUGUCUUCACCCCUGAUUAGGCCUGAAUCUGAAGCACUUACAUGGAUUAAUGGAAUGAGCAAUGUCCUGUGAAUCAAGAGACCUAUAUUUGAGCAACAGCUUUCACCAAAUGCUGUAUGCCUUGGGCAGGUCACUGACCCACUCCUGGGCUUCAGUUUCUCCAUUUAGACAAUAAAGAGGAAUUGGCUUGCUUCACAGUUUCACCAAAGAAUGACUAUUAUUAUAGUGAAACUCCAUUAUAAUAUCUCAUUAUUGGUCAUUUCCUUGCAUUUAUUCCUCAUUUUGAGACAUCCUUGUUAUAUUUCAAGCAAAACAGCAAUGAAUCCCAUGCCUAGGAAGUGUGUGAUUAUAAACUUAAAUCCCAAUCUUUAGGACCCUCAUGGUUCUAACAUUUUAUGAUUUUUUUUUUCUGCUGUGAUGUUACUUUCUUUUUAACUGUUGUUUUGAACUUAAAACUUAGGGAAUGAAAUUAAUGUUGAUGACCACGGACUAUUUUCCAGGUACUGUGCUAGUUUCAUUUAUUACAAGCAAGGUAGAUUUUGGUAUCCUUGUGUUAUAGGUUAGAAAACUGAGGUUCAGAGAUGUCACCUUUCUAAUACCACUCAGUUAGCAAGCGGACGGUUAGGACUUAAACUCGGGUCUGUCCUACUACAAGGCCUGUGGCUUGAAAAAUUAUUUUUAUGCUAUAAUUCUUUAUUAUUUUAACUUUCUUAAAAUUAAUUCAUUUAUUCAAUAUUUAUUGAGUAUCUGCUGUGUAAGGUACUGUGCCAGACGCUAUGGGUUUGGAGAUGAGAAAUCAGUCCCUGUUCUUGAGCAGCCUUUAGAGAAGACAUGUAAAUAAAAGUUGCAAGUUAGGGCAAUGACACUAUGGCAGGGGAAAUAAGGGAAGUCAGGGUGCAAAAAGUGGGAUUUAAUAUUGGAGACACCCUGGAAGCUUCUCAGAAUAGGAAACACCUGAGCUGAAUUGAGGGGGUAAGAUUGUCUUUUUUUUUUUUCCUGAGAUAACUCUUUAUUAAACAAGUUAGUCAACAAUUAAUUGAGAAUCUAUGAUGUACCAGAUACUUUUCUAGUUUCAGGAAUACAAUUGCAUACAACGACAAACUCUUAUAGAGCUCACAAGGGAAGAAAGGCAGUAAACCAACCAACAAAUACAGUAUAAGAUUGAAAUCCAGGUGACUGGAAAAGUAAGACUUGGCCAGGUAAAGAGAGUUGAAUGGCAUGAAACAGCAUCCUGAAUAAAGGCAGAGGCAUGUGCAAGCAUGCUGAGGCAUGAUGAUCCCUUUGAAGAUGUUUGUCACGGCUGGAAUAUCUUCUAAAAGAUAAAGAAGGAAGCAAGAGAAAAAUGCAAGCACAGAUCAUGAGUGCCUUGUGUGAUGUUAUGAGUAUGAACUUUCUCCUGCAGAUAAUGGGAAGCCAGGGGAGGGUUUUAAGAGACAGAGGCACAAUGCUCAAAUUUGGUUCCAGGGUGAUUUCUCCUGUGGCCCUGGUGAAGUGGGAUUUGAAGGGGACCCAGACUGCAGACAGGAAGAAUGGUCCUGGUCCAGGGAGAAUGGCCAGGAUUAUCUCAGGAUUUCAUGAAGAGGAGAAAUGGAGGUCAUUUCCUAGAGAUUAAUGGAUAAUUUGAUUGUGAGAAGAAAAUUGUUUAAGGAGCAGGGGUGGGUAUGGAGGCAAAUGUCACACACUCCAGAAGGUAAAGUGACCUGGCUCUUCCCCUCUCACUCCUUGGAAAGAAGGAAAGCUCAUCAGAGCCAGGACCCUGGAAAAGUGAUGUGAUGAAGAGAAGGAGGCCCUGAAUACCACCAUCUGAAGGCAUUUCCAAGGAAGCCAGGGAUGUGACUCUGUCUCGGUUGCAGAGAUCAAAAGGUUUUGUGAAGGAAGCAAUGGCUCUCUAGCCCCCUUCUGGGUGGAUUCUGGGGUAGAAGGAUCCGGUUCCUUUGAUAACUGGUUAGUUAUAGCUAUAGGGUGAAGCCAAUUGAGUAACAUUGGUCUGGGCUUCCAGAGACACAAGGUCUUCUUGAACCAUAAGCUCUCAGAACAAUGCCCCACCUAGGCAGAGCAGAGAACCCUGAACCUUUUGCCUGGAGAGAACAAAGAAGCGCACAGCUCAGGAGCCACCAGACCUGGGACUACCCAUUGGACCCCUAAUCUCCACUGUUCUUGGCCUGUCUCUCUUUCCCAUUAGAUUGUGAGCUCUUUGAGAACAGAGACUACCUCUUCUCCAUCCUUGUUUCCCUAGCCUAGUACACCAUCAAAUAAUGCUGUGGAAAGAAAAAGUAAAGGAAUAAAUAAAUAACCCUUAGAUAAGUGGGUCAUCCACCAAUCCUCAAUUCCUGAUUAGUAAAAUGAGAAUAACAAUAGCUACUAACAAGAGUAUUGUGUAGACUGUAUGACUUAAUGAAUGUGAAAGCACCCGUAUGGAGUUUAACAUAAAAUAGAUAAUAAAAAAUACAUUAUCCUC